Molecule: ribosomal RNA, 253 nt
Filed under: uncultured bacterium
Lineage: Bacteria
Description: partial 16S ribosomal RNA
Rfam family: Bacterial small subunit ribosomal RNA
Source: RNAcentral
UACGUAGGGGGCAAGCGUUGUCCGGAUUUAUUGGGCGUAAAGAGCUCGUAGGCGGUUUGUCGCGUCGGGAGUGAAAACACCGGGCUUAACUCGGUGCUUGCUUUCGAUACGGGCAGACUAGAGGCAUGCAGGGGAGAACGGAAUUCCUGGUGUAGCGGUGAAAUGCGCAGAUAUCAGGAGGAACACCGGUGGCGAAGGCGGUUCUCUGGGCAUGUCCUGACGCUGAGGCGCGAAAGCCAGGGGAGCAAACGGG